RNAcentral lists this ribosomal RNA (230 nucleotides) under uncultured microorganism. RNAcentral describes it as "partial 16S ribosomal RNA". It matches the Rfam family "Bacterial small subunit ribosomal RNA", at positions 524 to 753 of the family's 1533-position model. The record is from RNAcentral.
UACGUAGGUGGCAAGCGUUGUCCGGAAUUAUUGGGCGUAAAGCGCGCGCAGGCGGUCUUUUAAGUCUGAUGUGAAAGCCCACGGCUCAACCGUGGAGGGUCAUUGGAAACUGGAAGACUUGAGUACAGAAGAGGAGAGUGGAAUUCCACGUGUAGCGGUGAAAUGCGUAGAGAUGUGGAGGAACACCAGUGGCGAAGGCGACUCUCUGGUCUGUAACUGACGCUGAGGCG